UGUAUAGUGAUUGCUAAUUGUUUCAUUCCAAAAAAAAAAUGAAGCAGCCUCGAUUUGAUCGAAUAAAAUUCUGAGUAAAAUUAUGAUAAUGACAUUAUUUACUCAUGAGUCUUGACCAAAUUACGUGCCAGCAGUCGCGGUAAUACGUAAAAGACGAGUGUUAUUCAUCUUUAAUAGGUUUAAAGGGUACCUAAACGGCAAAUUAAGCCUUAGUUGGGACUGGUUUGCUAAAGUUACUUAUGAGGAAGUUUUAAUGUACUAAAGGUGAAGAGAUGAAAUUCUGUCAUACCUUUUUUCUAACGAAAAAUUUCGGCACAGGUAUAGGUGAAAACAUCUUCUUAUGGGAUAACUGACGUUGAGGGACGAAGGCUUUUUAUCGCGAACAGGAUUAAAUACCCUGGUAGUCAAAGCAAAAAAUGAUGAGUGUCAUAGAUUAAAUCUAGUUUAUUCUAUAAAUGAAAGUGUAAGCACUCCACCUCAAGAGUAAUUUGGCAACAUUGGAACUGAAAUCAUUAAACCGUGUCUGAAACCAGUAGUGAAGUAUGUUAUUUAAUUUGAUAAUCCGCAAAAAACCUUACCACAACUUGAAUGUUUAUUUACUUACUUUUAUUACAUGUUUUGUGAGCAAUCCUGUAUAUAAUUAGGGUUGCUCUUUAAGCAAUCAUGUUUAUAGAUGAAAUUAAAUAGGUACAAGUGUUGCACGGCUGUCUUCAGUUAAUGUCGUCAGACUAUGGUUAGCUCCAGUAAAUUAACGUAAACCCUUGCUCUAGUUUUAAG
Molecule: ribosomal RNA, 777 nt
Filed under: Micarea prasina
Lineage: Eukaryota; Fungi; Ascomycota; Lecanoromycetes; Lecanorales; Micareaceae
Description: SSU rRNA
Rfam family: Bacterial small subunit ribosomal RNA
Source: RNAcentral